Molecule: unclassified non-coding RNA, 414 nt
Filed under: Hevea brasiliensis (rubber tree)
Lineage: Eukaryota; Viridiplantae; Streptophyta; Magnoliopsida; Malpighiales; Euphorbiaceae
Source: RNAcentral
GCAUGAUCCCAUUCUUUACUAACCGACUCGCAAACUAUGUCAGAUUACAUCGUAAUCAAGCUAAGUAUGAAGAAGAGAAUGUAUGGAGACCCGUAGGAAAGCGCGUGGCGUGGACGUACAUACUUUUAAUGAAGCUUUCUUUCCCUGGCUUGCUUUCUUUAAAAGCAGGAGAAAAGUAUAACCAUAUAGGUUGAAAGCGGGAUUUUAUCCAUUGGAGGAUAAAGUGAGUAGUUCAGGAGUGAAGGAAGGGCAAAAGCAGCAAUAUUGAAAUCUGGGAUAGCAGGUUCCACGGGUUCUAAAGCUCUAGAGCAAGUCAGUUUUGAAGCUAUCCAUAUAGAUCAAGGGAUAAUUACAGUGCUAAGUCCAUCUAGUAUGAGUUCAUAGCUAGGAAGCCAAUCUAGGCUUGGAUAAGUU